Molecule: ribosomal RNA, 536 nt
Filed under: Salmonella enterica
Lineage: Bacteria; Pseudomonadati; Pseudomonadota; Gammaproteobacteria; Enterobacterales; Enterobacteriaceae
Description: bacterial SSU rRNA
Rfam family: Bacterial small subunit ribosomal RNA
Source: RNAcentral
UGAGAAUGUGCCUUCGGGAACCGUGAGACAGGUGCUGCAUGGCUGUCGUCAGCUCGUGUUGUGAAAUGUUGGGUUAAGUCCCGCAACGAGCGCAACCCUUAUCCUUUGUUGCCAGCGGUCCGGCCGGGAACUCAAAGGAGACUGCCAGUGAUAAACUGGAGGAAGGUGGGGAUGACGUCAAGUCAUCAUGGCCCUUACGACCAGGGCUACACACGUGCUACAAUGGCGCAUACAAAGAGAAGCGACCUCGCGAGAGCAAGCGGACCUCAUAAAGUGCGUCGUAGUCCGGAUUGGAGUCUGCAACUCGACUCCAUGAAGUCGGAAUCGCUAGUAAUCGUGGAUCAGAAUGCCACGGUGAAUACGUUCCCGGGCCUUGUACACACCGCCCGUCACACCAUGGGAGUGGGUUGCAAAAGAAGUAGGUAGCUUAACCUUCGGGAGGGCGCUUACCACUUUGUGAUUCAUGACUGGGGUGAAGUCGUAACAAGGUAACCGUAGGGGAACCUGCGGUUGGAUCACCUCCUUACCUUAAAGAA